AUAUAUGAAUAAAAUUUGUAUGUAUGAUUUUUUCUUAUCUCUUAGUCAUUAUCUCAUGUGACGAUAAUGAAAAACUAAGACUUUGAGUUUAUGAUUUAACUUCCAGGAAGGGUCUACAUCAGUGGGUUGGAGGAGGCACAGUAAGAGCAUGAUGUGAGGACUCAGAGGGUUAAGAAUGUUUGGCCUGUGAAUUGUCUCUUGUGUUUUUCCAAAAUUACAUUCCUUGGCAUCUAGUUUUUAAAAGAUGGCAUGUUUCCUCAAUGAAAAACUAUUGUAAAAAAUGGGGUAGAAAUCUCAAAAGAUGUACCUGAGCCUGUGUCUCCAACAUGCUUCCAGAAGCCUGCUGUCUUCCUCUGCUUCUCACCCCUUAGAAAGACAGCAGCUAGUAUUCCAGAACUAUCUGAAGAAGUACUUAUUUUUUUCUAAAUUAAGUUCAUUUCUCCUCUUCAUCCUUGCUUCCCUCCCCUUAGUUCAAUUCAGUCGCUCAGUCGUGUCCAACUCUUUGCGACCCUAUGAAUCACAGCACGCCAGGCCUCCCUGUCCAUCACCAACUCCCUCCGGUAGUCAGAAUUUAGCUUUUGCUGGCCCAGGGCACUGGGCAGCCCAGCCUGGAGAGGGCCAUCCAAGCCCAGGAGUGGGUGUUGCAGGCUGCGCUUAUCUGCGGGCAAGGUGGCUUGUGAGCAGCUGGGGAUCAGGAACCACUAGGGGGCGCCCCUGCUGGGGAGGGUCUGGUCUGAUCGCCUUAACCUGGUCUCUGUUCAGCUUUGACUGCGCUUCAGAAUCCACCCAGACUCACCGAAGGACGCAGUUAUUCCUGAAUGAGGCAAAAGGACACAGCUUCUCAGUGUCUGCCUGUCAGACUUCUUGGCCUCGGGCUGAAAAUUUUAUGUAG
RNAcentral lists this long non-coding RNA (892 nucleotides) under Ovis aries (sheep). RNAcentral's name for it is "lncRNA (ENSOARG00000025756.1)". The record is from RNAcentral. Lineage: Eukaryota; Metazoa; Chordata; Mammalia; Artiodactyla; Bovidae.